UCGGGAAUUUUGGGCAAUGGGGGAAACCCUGACCCAGCAACGCCGCGUGAAGGAUGAAGUAUUUCGGUAUGUAAACUUCGAAAGAAUAGGAAGAAUAAAUGACGGUACUAUUUAUAAGGUCCGGCUAACUACGUGCCAGCAGCCGCGGUAAUACGUAGGGACCAAGCGUUGUUCGGAUUUACUGGGCGUAAAGGGCGCGUAGGCGGCAUGACAAGUCACUUGUGAAAUCUCUGGGCUUAACCCAGAACGGCCAAGUGAUACUGUCGCGCUAGAGUGCAGAAGGGGCAAUCGGAAUUCUUGGUGUAGCGGUGAAAUGCGUAGAUAUCAAGAGGAACACCUGAGGUGAAGACGGGUUGCUGGGCUGACACUGACGCUGAGACGCGAAAGCGUGGGGAGCAAACAGGAUUAGAUACCCACGUAGUCCCUGAGCGGGCUGGCAAGGCGCAU
Molecule: ribosomal RNA, 447 nt
Filed under: uncultured bacterium
Lineage: Bacteria
Description: bacterial SSU rRNA
Rfam family: Bacterial small subunit ribosomal RNA
Source: RNAcentral